AGUGAACGCUGGCGGUAGGCCUAACACAUGCAAGUCGAACGGCAGCACAGUAAGAGCUUGCUCUUACGGGUGGCGAGUGGCGGACGGGUGAGGAAUACAUCGGAAUCUACUUUUUCGUGGGGGAUAACGUAGGGAAACUUACGCUAAUACCGCAUACGGCCUACGGGUGAAAGCAGGGGAUCUUCGGACCUUGCGCGAUUGAAUGAGCCGAUGUCGGAUUAGCUAGUUGGCGGGGUAAAGGCCCACCAAGGCGACGAUCCGUAGCUGGUCUGAGAGGAUGAUCAGCCACACUGGAACUGAGACACGGUCCAGACUCCUACGGGAGGCAGCAGUGGGGAAUAUUGGACAAUGGGCGCAAGCCUGAUCCAGCCAUACCGCGUGGGUGAAGAAGGCCUUCGGGUUGUAAAGCCCUUUUGUUGGGAAAGAAGAGCAGCAGGUUAAUACCCCGCUGUUCUGACGGUACCCAAAGAAUAAGCACCGGCUAACUUCGU
RNAcentral lists this ribosomal RNA (491 nucleotides) under uncultured bacterium. RNAcentral's name for it is "partial 16S ribosomal RNA". It matches the Rfam family "Bacterial small subunit ribosomal RNA", at positions 29 to 506 of the family's 1533-position model. The record is from RNAcentral.